RNAcentral lists this long non-coding RNA (1505 nucleotides) under Chrysemys picta bellii (western painted turtle). RNAcentral describes it as "lncRNA (ENSCPBG00000016918.1)". Lineage: Eukaryota; Metazoa; Chordata; Testudines; Emydidae. The record is from RNAcentral.
CUAUAGAGCAUCCUGGGGGGACAUGGUCAGUGCCCUGCAGCCAGUGCCACGCCAGAUACACAGGUGGCAGGGCUAGCAUGGCAGUGGGUGGGACAGCUGUGUCUCAGGGGCUGUGGGCCCUGCCGGGUCUCGGGGUGCUGGGCAGUGCCAGGCCAGGGGGUGCAGGGUACACAGGUGGCAGGGCUAGCGCAGCCGUGUCUUGGGGGGCUGUGGGCGCUGCCACGUUUCGGGACGGUGGGCGGUGCCAGGCUUGGGGGGUGCAGGUUACACAGCCAGUUGGAGAGCUGCAUUGGCUCUAAUGGCUGCGUCUGUCCUGUCCUCAGAGCCCUUCCACCUCCGGCGCCGCAGGGAGAAGCUCCCGGAUGGACUGCAUGGUGGUGUGGGGUCGGGGCCGCAGGCCGCAGGAAGUCUGGUGCGAGCUCCCCUCUACAGCCUGGGGCACAGUGUGGUGUGGGGAUGGGAGCUGCGGUGCUCUGGGCUUGGUGAUUCCUGGCACAUGGUACUCUUGGGGCCAAUCACAGGGAUGCGGUGAGGAGGCCUGGUGAACGCACCUCUCCAGCCCCCCGCGGCGGGCCUGAGGGGCCGUCGGGUGGCAGAUGGGCUGCCCUGGGGCUCCGCUUUCCAGGAGCGGGAGGCGGUGGUGGAGGAGCUGCGGCGUUGGAGAAGCGCGUUCCCGGUGCCCUGGGGCUGCGCUGGGCUUGGGUGGCGCCUGUGCCCUGCAGGGUCUGGGGCUGGGCAGAAAGCAGACGUCCCCCAGCUGCGACCCCGGGGGGGCCGGGCCUGUCCCACACCUGUCGGUCGCAUCACCGGGGGGCAGGGUACAACUGGCAGGCCUCUCACUUGCUGUUUUCCCCACAGAGCCUGCCAAGCAGAUUGUCAAGCAGCUGGGUGAGAAAGCAGGACUGAAGGUAAGAUCAUAGAGCCACAAGGUGAGACGGGACCGCAAGGGUCGUCUAGCCUAGCCCCUGCCAAGCUGCAGGAUCUGUUGUCUAAGCCAUCCAAGACCGCUGGUUAUCCAGCCUCCUUCUGAAAACCUCCAGCGAAGGAGCUUCCUCGACCUCCCUAGGCAGGUCUGUUCCGUUGUCGUCCUCUUCUUGCCGUUAGGAAGCUUUUCCUGAGAUUUGAUCUAAACCUGCAGUGCUGUCGUUUGAACCCAUUGCCUCUUGUCCUGCCCUCUGUGGCAAGAGAAACUUUUCUCCAUCUUUUUUAUGGCAGCCUUUCAAGUAUUUGAAGACCAGUAUGAUGUCUCCUCUUCAUCUCCUCUUUUCCGAACUACACAUACUCAGUUCCUUCAGCCUUUGCUCGUAUGACUUGCAUUCCAUCCCUUUGAUCAUCUUUGUCGCUUGCUUCUGGGUCCUUCCCAGUUUCUCUCUACAUCCUUUCUAUAGGUUGGUGACCAACAUUGGACACACUACUCCAGCUGAGGCCUCACCAGCGCCGUGUAGAGCGGUACUAUCACCUCCCAUGACUUGCAUGCUGUGCCUCUGUUAAUGCAACCCAAAAUU